UACGUAGGGUGCAAGCGUUAAUCGGAAUUACUGGGCGUAAAGCGUGCGCAGGCGGUUGUGCAAGACAGAUGUGAAAUCCCCGGGCUUAACCUGGGAAUUGCAUUUGUGACUGCACGGCUAGAGUGUGUCAGAGGGGGGUAGAAUUCCACGUGUAGCAGUGAAAUGCGUAGAUAUGUGGAGGAAUACCGAUGGCGAAGGCAGCCCCCUGGGAUAACACUGACGUUCAUGCACGAAAGCGUGGGGAGCAAACAGG
Molecule: ribosomal RNA, 253 nt
Filed under: uncultured bacterium
Lineage: Bacteria
Description: partial 16S ribosomal RNA
Rfam family: Bacterial small subunit ribosomal RNA
Source: RNAcentral